GGGGAUGACAGGUUUCGACAGGUAGGGCUGGCUGUAGAAUGCAGGCCGAGGCGCCCCCACCUCGUGAAUCAGGGGCAAAACAAGAAGCGGCAAAACCGCACGAACUCCGGCGUAUGCGUACGCCAUGGCUGCGUAAAGCAGUCGUAGCGAUCACGUAAGCGCCACGGUCGUCUGAGCACGACCUCGCUUGCCCCGGCUUUCCUCCGCCGGGCCGGGAGCGGGCGUCAUAACAGACGGAGUGCGGCUGCCCCGAUGUCAGUGAGGGCAGCCAAAGAGGGUCAACCCCUACUGACUGGCCCGACUGUCGCUCAGUCGGUUGAGGGAUGGUCGGGCGAGAAAGAAGGGAACCGACUAAGCCUGUAGCAUUUCUGCGGUCGAACUAUCUGGACGCGGGUUCGAUUCCCGCCAUCUCCACCA
Molecule: transfer-messenger RNA, 417 nt
Filed under: Anaerolineae
Lineage: Bacteria; Bacillati; Chloroflexota
Also listed under: 1 other name
Description: JACIWT01 sp014360825 Standard tmRNA
Rfam family: transfer-messenger RNA
About the family: Bacterial tmRNA, also known as 10Sa RNA or SsrA, is named for its dual tRNA and mRNA-like properties. Its role is to liberate the mRNA from a stalled ribosome.
Source: RNAcentral